Molecule: ribosomal RNA, 467 nt
Filed under: uncultured bacterium
Lineage: Bacteria
Description: partial 16S ribosomal RNA
Rfam family: Bacterial small subunit ribosomal RNA
Source: RNAcentral
GAUGAACGCUGGCGGCGUGCUUAACACAUGCAAGUCGAACGGAAAGGCCAGUGCUUGCACUGGUGCUCGAGUGGCGAACGGGUGAGUAACACGUGGGUGAUCUGCCCUGCACUUUGGGAUAAGCCUGGGAAACUGGGUCUAAUACCAGAUAGGACCAUGCUUUGGAUGGUGUGGUGGAAAGUUUUUUCGGUGUGGGAUGAGCUUGCGGCCUAUCAGCUUGUUGGUGGGGUGAUGGCCUACCAAGGCGUCGGCGGGUAGCCGGCCUGAGAGGGUGUACGGCCACAUUGGGACUGAGGGGAGGCCCAGGCUCCUACUGGAGGGAGCAGUGGGGAAUAUUGCACGAUGGGCGCAAGCCUGAUGCAGCGACGCCGCGUGGCGUAUGACGGUCUUCGUGUUGUAAACUCCUUUCGCAACUGACGAAGCUUUUUGUGACGGUAGGUUGUGAAGAAGCACCGGCUAACUACGUG